Mercurialis annua (annual mercury) is the source of this 815-nucleotide long non-coding RNA. RefSeq lists it as uncharacterized. The transcript has 2 exons. The record is from RefSeq and is a predicted model, not a curated record. NCBI's taxonomy places the organism in Eukaryota, Viridiplantae, Streptophyta, Magnoliopsida, Malpighiales, Euphorbiaceae.
AAGAAUGCCAUAAUGGCAAACUUGUAAAUAAUUGAAACUUCAAAUAAAUAUCUAGAUAUUUUAUCUAGCUAAACUUGGUGCCCAAGUCUCUAUUUCAUCUUCUCCAUUUGAGUGUGGGUGCCGAACCAUUCAAGCUCAAAACACAAAAAUUUAUCCUUUGAUUUUCUCUCAAAAUUUUCUUAACGGAAAUUGACGAGGAGCUUACGUAGAUCAUUAAUCUAUAUUUGCAUGUUCGUUUGAGAUCCAGCGAGUUUUGUCGCGGAAACCGGCGAGCAAAGGUUUUGAAUAUUCGACGGGUGGUAUUUUUAUAAUUGGAAUAAGCGAGUACUGUGAGUGUGUUUACAACUUAUACUGCUAAAUAUUAGUAUUAAAAAUAUUGCGAACUGCUUUACAUGAUUUGCAAAUGCUUUAUUUUAUUUUGAAUUUAAAUCGCAUGAACUAUUCAUAGUGUUGAAACCGAUUUAUAUUCAUUGAAACAUGCUUACUAUUGGGCGGCAAUAGUGCUGUGUGAUCACCGGUAUUGCAUUUAGAAUGGGUUGCAUGUGAAUGUGCUGUGUGAAUCCUGGCGACGGCCUGGAAAGUCAGGCGACGGCCUAGACUCUGUGUGAACAGAUCUUCAGAGGCAACGGAAUAUAGACGACCAAAGGCAGUCAGCAAACUGCCGAGAUCUGAGAGGUUGAACCUUUUAUUAAAAAAAGUGAAAUUGGCGACAGUAUUUAUGUACUGCCGAAAUCCGUUGUAUUGUAAGAAGAGUCUGGGACUUUCAAAUACGUAAAAUAAGAAUAAUCGGAUUUGACUGGCUAAAAGUACAAAAA